UCUUCUUGUUUGAAUGAGAAGAAGGUGCUAGUCCUUUGUUAUUCAGCUUGGUAUGCACAUGUUCCAAGACUUGAGAUUCUCACACCAUACUCUUGCAGAAGAUGUCUGAGGCCUGUUCAAAGCUGCUACUGCUAUUAGGGAUCUGGAUCCUUUUAUUUUCCUGGAUAAUAAAUCGUUGUAUGUCAGUGUGAUCUUGUUGAAUCAUUUUGCUAGGUACCUAUCAUUUUGAAGUUGUCUAAAUUAUUUGUAGGAUGAAAUGUUCUCAAGGUCAUGUAAAUGAUAUGCUUAUUUCCCUCAUGCAGUGGAAAGGCACUUUCUGUUCUGAAAUAUUAAGAUAGCUUAUAUCUAUGUUCUGAACUAUCUGCUGCAAUGAAUCAUGAACUGAUCUGUUGUAAUGAAUGGUCUAACUCCAAGGCUACUUGUUAA
Molecule: long non-coding RNA, 426 nt
Organism: Sorghum bicolor (sorghum)
Lineage: Eukaryota; Viridiplantae; Streptophyta; Magnoliopsida; Poales; Poaceae
Exons: 2
Source: RefSeq, a predicted model, not a curated record